AGUAUCAAUUGAUGAAACCUUGAAACAAUCUAAGGACACCUUCUGUAACUGUUCUUAUCUUGUGAAUGGGAAGUCAUUUAUUUUCCGAUAAUUCU
Lolium rigidum is the source of this 95-nucleotide small nucleolar RNA. RefSeq annotates it as small nucleolar RNA snoR31/Z110/Z27. NCBI's taxonomy places the organism in Eukaryota, Viridiplantae, Streptophyta, Magnoliopsida, Poales, Poaceae. The record is from RefSeq and is a predicted model, not a curated record. The transcript has a single exon.